CAAGUCGAACGGUAGCACAGAGAGCUUGCUCUCGGGUGACGAGUGGCGGACGGGUGAGUAAUGUCUGGGAAACUGCCUGAUGGAGGGGGAUAACUACUGGAAACGGUAGCUAAUACCGCAUAAUGUCGCAAGACCAAAGAGGGGGACCUUCGGGCCUCUUGCCAUCAGAUGUGCCCAGAUGGGAUUAGCUAGUAGGUGGGGUAACGGCUCACCUAGGCGACGAUCCCUAGCUGGUCUGAGAGGAUGACCAGCCACACUGGAACUGAGACACGGUCCAGACUCCUACGGGAGGCAGCAGUGGGGAAUAUUGCACAAUGGGCGCAAGCCUGAUGCAGCCAUGCCGCGUGUAUGAAGAAGGCCUUCGGGUUGUAAAGUACUUUCAGCGGGGAGGAAGGUGUUGUGGUUAAUAACCACAGCAAUUGACGUUACCCGCAGAAGAAGCACCGGCUAACUCCGUGCCAG
Molecule: ribosomal RNA, 462 nt
Filed under: bacterium 1911-S4-05-1.1
Lineage: Bacteria
Description: bacterial SSU rRNA
Rfam family: Bacterial small subunit ribosomal RNA
Source: RNAcentral